This 1485-nucleotide unclassified non-coding RNA is filed under the name Hevea brasiliensis (rubber tree). Lineage: Eukaryota; Viridiplantae; Streptophyta; Magnoliopsida; Malpighiales; Euphorbiaceae. The record is from RNAcentral.
GACCUUGCAAGACCUUUGGAAACCUAUUGGAUUCCAGAAAGCCUGUGUAGGUUGUUGGAGGCUGAGUUUUCACAAAGUCACCAACAAUAAUGUUCUCUACACCAUUUGGCAUGAGAUUGUGACGAGCUACUCUUUGCAGCUCGAAAUCCAGUGGGCGGACUGGUUUAUCACAACCAUAGGGAGGUGAUAUCAGACCUAAAUUUUCUUGACCUUGCAAGACCUUGGAGGAUCUUAUUGACUCCUCAAAGUCUAAAAGAGCACUCCCUCCAGCAAAAUGGCUGUCCAGUACUGAUGGUGCCUGCUGACUAGUCCGCAGUUUCUUCAGUCUUGGUGAGGACUGAAUGCUCAGUGGUGGUAAGGAAACUGAAGAAUCAAUUUCCCAAGGAGAAACCCGUUCCUGAUGAUUACUCAUUAUAUCUUCAUCCCAUCUGACCAUCAAGCAUCUCCAUUUAGAGUUGGGCCAUCUAAAGGGAUCCAUAUCGCUUAUCCCAGUCACUACACCGCUGUACCUUCUUUCAGGUGAAUCAUCCAAAUCAAAUUUCAUUUUAAAUCUUGUCCCAACAGGAAUCCGAGAGUUGAUGGCUUUCACGUACUUUUGGUAAGGUACAACGAAAUCAGCAUGACUUGCCCUUGGGCUAUAGAAAACAUGGAAAGUGCUCUUUGCUGAUAGGGCUGUAGCAACUGACGAAAGAACAUCCGGUCCAGAAUAUUGACUUUUGAUUAUCGAUUCAGGAAGCCCAUUUCUAGGUCUUGCAGCUCUUCUUAUUCCCAGUCUGAGAUUUCCACCUUCUCCCCUCAAGAAGAGAACUGCAUCCCCUGAGACAAGAUUCUUUUGGCUGACAAAGAUACUCCAUCCAGUAGUGAGCAAAUGUCGCCUUGGCUGGCCUCUAUAAAUGUGACGAAAUUUCCACUCUACUCCGUGCAGAUCCUUAGCAAUUAGCUCCUGUGAGGGUCUUUGCUCUUUGUAAUCCAGAGGGGGGAAGCAGUCUUCAGCUGCUCGACGGGGAACUGAAAAGCCACCAUGGGUGGUGGUAUCCGAAGCAGUCAGCGUUUUACAGAACAUGUGAGAAGCUGAUUUCCCUGGAUUGACUCCAUUCCCUUCCUCAUCCGUCCCCGAAUCUUCAUGUUCUUUCCCCUCUAAGCUUAUAGCCAUUGACUCUGGAAGAGGAAGAAGAGUGAGCUGUGUAUACACCUCAUCAUUUUCCUUAUUUGCAAGCAAUUGGACAUCUUCCACUCUACAGAAGAUCUGAGGCUGAAGACCAAAAGUUGGUAAAUCAAUCUUGACAGGUGAAAAUGGAAAAGCAGAAACAGCUUCUUCCAUAUGACCUUGAGGGAAAUAAACCACUACAUUUCCUUUCUUGGGUAAACUAGUAAGAGGACCAGCACAAGCAUGCCAAAGCUCUUUAUAAAUUGAGGUAAGAGCAAGUGAAGAAGAUGAAGAUACAUUUGAAGAACAAGAAGAAGUAGUGGAAGUGUACAAAGAGC